RNAcentral lists this small RNA (88 nucleotides) under Soonwooa buanensis. RNAcentral's name for it is "Flavo-1 RNA". It matches the Rfam family "Flavo-1 RNA". The record is from Rfam by way of RNAcentral. Lineage: Bacteria; Pseudomonadati; Bacteroidota; Flavobacteriia; Flavobacteriales; Weeksellaceae.
AUUUUGCGAUAGGGAUAGCAGCGGAUAUCCUUCUGAAGAAAUGGCUAAAGCGAUGGACAGAAGAUAGCAGCGAAUAGCCCGACCGCAA